Molecule: long non-coding RNA, 814 nt
Filed under: Physcomitrium patens
Lineage: Eukaryota; Viridiplantae; Streptophyta; Bryopsida; Funariales; Funariaceae
Description: long non-coding RNA (PPAT_LNC000378)
Source: RNAcentral
UUGGUUAGGGUUUAAUUUAGGAUUAGGAUUUGGUUAGGGUUUGGUCUAGGAUUAAGGAUUAGUGUUAGGAUUUGGUAAAGAUUUGAUUUAGGAUUAGAAUUUCGUUAGGAUUUGAUUAAGAUUUGAUUUAGGAUUAGAAUUUGGUUUAGAAUUUAGGAUUUUGUUAGGAUUUGAUUUGAGAUUAGGGUUAGGUUAAGAUUUGAUUUAGGAUUUAGGAUUUGGUUAGGAUUUAAUUUAGGAUUAGGAUUUAGUUAGGAUUUGGUUUAGGAUUUAGGGUUUGAUUUAGGAUUGGUUAGGAUUUGAUUUAGGGUUAGGAUUUGGUUAAGGUUUGAUUUAAGGUUAAGGUUUGGUAAGAGUUUGGUUUAGGAUUUAGAAUUUGGUUAGGAUUUGAUUUAGGAUUAGGAUUUGGUUUAGGAUUUAGGAUCUUAUUAGGAUUUGAUUUUGGAUUAGGAUUUGGUUUAGGAUUUAGGAUUUGAUUAAGAUUUGAUUUAGGAUUAGGAUUUGGUUUAGGAUUUAAGGUUUGGUUAGGAUUUGAUCAAGAUUUGAUUUAGGUUUUAGGAUUUUAUUUGAGUUUAUUUAAGAUUUAAGACUUAGUUAGUUUUAUUCCUAAAGUUUCAAUGAAGUCCAAUAAGAUUUCAAGUAGGAUUAAAUUAAGAUUGAAUUGAGAUGUAUUUGAGAUAUGUUUGUAAUCAUUCUAGUAAUUCUUUAAGAUUUCUUAUUGUUUCUUUGGAAUUCCUUUGAGGUUUCUCUGAAUUUGAUUAAAGUUUAUUUAGCAUUAUUAGUGUUCUAUUAGAAUUAGGAUUUUAUUGUUGGA